GAAUUGACGGGGGCCCGCACAAGCGGUGGAGCAUGUGGUUUAAUUCGAUGCAACGCGAAGAACCUUACCUGGUCUUGACAUCCACGGAAGUUUUCAGAGAUGAGAAUGUGCCUUCGGGAACCGUGAGACAGGUGCUGCAUGGCUGUCGUCAGCUCGUGUUGUGAAAUGUUGGGUUAAGUCCCGCAACGAGCGCAACCCUUAUCCUUUGUUGCCAGCGGUCCGGCCGGGAACUCAAAGGAGACUGCCAGUGAUAAACUGGAGGAAGGUGGGGAUGACGUCAAGUCAUCAUGGCCCUUACGACCAGGGCUACACACGUGCUACAAUGGCGCAUACAAAGAGAAGCGACCUCGCGAGAGCAAGCGGACCUCAUAAAGUGCGUCGUAGUCCGGAUUGGAGUCUGCAACUCGACUCCAUGAAGUCGGAAUCGCUAGUAAUCGUGGAUCAGAAUGCCACGGUGAAUACGUUCCCGGGCCUUGUACACACCGCCCGUCACACCAUGGGAGUGAGUUGCAAAAGAAGUAGGUAGCUUAACCUUCGGGAGGGCGCUUACCACUUUGUGAUUCAUGACUGGGGUGAAGUCGUAACAAGGUAACCGUAGGGGAACCUGCGGUUGGAUCACCUCCUUA
RNAcentral lists this ribosomal RNA (626 nucleotides) under Escherichia coli. Its description in RNAcentral is "bacterial SSU rRNA". It matches the Rfam family "Bacterial small subunit ribosomal RNA", at positions 907 to 1533 of the family's 1533-position model. Lineage: Bacteria; Pseudomonadati; Pseudomonadota; Gammaproteobacteria; Enterobacterales; Enterobacteriaceae. The record is from RNAcentral. RNAcentral also lists the same sequence under 2 other names.